This 253-nucleotide ribosomal RNA is filed under the name uncultured bacterium. RNAcentral's name for it is "partial 16S ribosomal RNA". It matches the Rfam family "Bacterial small subunit ribosomal RNA", at positions 524 to 776 of the family's 1533-position model. The record is from RNAcentral.
UACGUAGGGUGCAAGCGUUGUCCGGAAUUAUUGGGCGUAAAGAGCUCGUAGGCGGUUUGUCGCGUCUGCUGUGAAAACUCGGGGCUUAACCCCGGGCCUGCAGUGGGUACGGGCAGACUAGAGUGCGGUAGGGGAGACUGGAAUUCCUGGUGUAGCGGUGAAAUGCGUAGAUAUCGAGAGGAACACCUGCGGCGAAGGCGGGUUGCUGGGCCGACACUGACGCUGAGGCGCGAAAGCCAGGGGAGCGAACGGG